Molecule: long non-coding RNA, 337 nt
Filed under: Nicotiana benthamiana
Lineage: Eukaryota; Viridiplantae; Streptophyta; Magnoliopsida; Solanales; Solanaceae
Description: long non-coding RNA (NBEN_LNC010649)
Source: RNAcentral
UAAAUUUCUGGAUCCAUAUGUUGAAUUCAUAUUGAAAAUAUAUUCAAUAAAUAGAAAAUUGAAAAUGACCUUUGGGCAGCAUUUGCCGCAAUUAGAGCAGCGAAUGAAUUUGGUGUGGCCGCGUCCAUGUUUGUUACGACCUCCGUUUCUUCUCUUGAAAGUCUGCAAGAAAAAAUGAGUGAUUACACUUCAGACGAAUAAAUUUUGUGUGGCCACGUCCAUGUUUGUUACGACCUCCGUUUCUUCUCUUGAAAGUCUGCAAAAAAAAUUGAGAGAUUAUACUUCAGUGGAUUGCUAAAAGAAAAAUUAAAUUGGAAAAAGAAAAGUGAAGAAUUUU